Non-coding RNA from Nicotiana tabacum (common tobacco), 1141 nucleotides. The record is from RefSeq and is a predicted model, not a curated record. Lineage: Eukaryota; Viridiplantae; Streptophyta; Magnoliopsida; Solanales; Solanaceae.
AUACUCUUGAUUUAUCUGAGUAUCCGGUGUGUGUUUAUUCUGGCUUAUAAGAAGUAGUAAUUACAUUUACUAUAUUAAAGAAGAUAGGAGAUCGUGAAUUAUUCAAAUUACCAAGAUUUUCAAUCUUUAUGGUUUGAUCCAUGAUACAAAAUUGUAAGGUUUCUCCCUCUCUUUCUAUUUUUUUUUUUCUAUUUUUUUUUCGUCGAGAACAUUAGAUUUGGGAGUGAAAUGAACAAAAUCUAUUACGAAACCCAAAUGGGUGUUAACGAGCAAGACAUAAUUUUUACGAAAUAAUUCUAUAAAUCUUUUCUUGGUUUUCUGUUUUCUCUAUGUGAUUGGAUUGACUAAUUAGUGGAGUUAAUUAUAAUAUCCAUUCAAGUGGGUUCUUCUUCAUUUUGUUGACCCAUUGUGCAUUUGUAAUGUACUGGAGUUGAUUACAGUAAUCUGUUUCAGUUAUUAGUUUGUUUUGAAUUAGAAAUACAUGAAUAUGUGAUUAUUUGGGCAAUUGAAGUAGGAAAAAGAGGAACUUUUUAACUAGGACUAUGUACACUUCUUUUUAGUUCGUAAUUUUAAAAUUUGAAGAAUAUGUCUACAAGUGUGUGAUAGAGCUAGACCAUGAAAAUUAUAUAUAUAAAAAAGUAAUCUGCUGUGAUGAGUAGAAAGUUGGCAUAUUGUUGUACAUUUUUCACUAGAUAACAGAUGGGGUCUGGAAGAUUGACUUUCUUGAUUCUAUUGGCAGAAAGUAUUUUAGAGGGGUGUCAUGGGGUUGAGCAAAACUGAAGUGAACUUGAAGAGAUUACUUGUAACUGCACCACAACAGCAAAAUCAAGCAAAGCUUAUACAUGGUUCACUUGACUUGAAAGAUGACAGGGAUGAAAGAUAAUAACAAUGAGAUAACGAUGACAUGAGGGCCAAACAGAAGGGUACAACUCAUGACUUACAAUCUUUUGGUUGCGAAUGCCAUCUUUGAUUUUGACGGAGUUUAGCUGGAGCUCUUUGAAUAUGGCUAAGAUUGCGUUCUAGCUAAAACUGUACGUUAGUACUUAUGAACUCUGCAAAGCGUUAGUUGUACCUAACUGUUGCCCAGGGUAUUCCAAAUGUCAUCAUUCAGAAAGCAAUUACCAUAAGUUAUUCAUUUGCA